This 118-nucleotide small RNA is filed under the name Escherichia coli. Its description in RNAcentral is "Insertion sequence IS1222 ribosomal frameshifting element". It matches the Rfam family "Insertion sequence IS1222 ribosomal frameshifting element". From Rfam's summary of the family: This family represents the insertion sequence IS1222 ribosomal frameshifting element. The element stimulates frameshifting which is known to be required for transposition. The record is from RNAcentral. Lineage: Bacteria; Pseudomonadati; Pseudomonadota; Gammaproteobacteria; Enterobacterales; Enterobacteriaceae. RNAcentral also lists the same sequence under 5 other names.
AGCGUUGCAGGUGGCCCUGAACCGAAAGUUCUGACGACAGACCAGAAGCGGGAAGCUGUGGAAGUCAUGUGUGAGGCAACGGGUCUGUCGCAACGUCACGCCAGUAGGCUGGCAGGUC